AUAUAAUUGAUACAUUUAUGUAGUUAUUAAUUUAUGAUAUUGAUGGGACCAUAUAUUUACAUAGAACUUUCAAAAAAGUUAUUAUCUUAUUAAUUUAUCGAUUUCUGUCAUUAUUUACACUAGCCCCAACUCGGAUCGGAAAAAUUUAUAAAUUUACAGAGAUUAUUAAUUUAUCAAAU
This 179-nucleotide small RNA is filed under the name Arabidopsis thaliana (thale cress). Its description in RNAcentral is "ATSL066640". Lineage: Eukaryota; Viridiplantae; Streptophyta; Magnoliopsida; Brassicales; Brassicaceae. The record is from RNAcentral.